GCCACUUGAGAUGCAGCGCAGGGGCAUUAGAGCUUCCCUCACUGUGCUGUUCUCUUAAUCACAAUAUGCUCACCACCACCACCUUGCACCAUGGGGAGGUGUGUGUGUGUCUGUGUGUGUGUGUGUAGCUUGUUGCUCAGUUAGUGGUUUGAAUGUUCAGAUGCCUCUCCCCAGGGCUGCAGUGUGAGAUGUUUACCAGAUUUACACGCUGUGAAUAUAAAGCCUUACUUGGUUCACGCCACUGGAUUUAGUGCAUUAAUGGUUGGUUAUUGAUAAUGAGAAAGGUUUAUGAUUAAUGGGUGAUAUUUAAUUCAAAAUUAUGGAUGGAUGGAUGGAUUUUGAUUGACUAGCUAGGUGGUGUGAUGGAUGGAUGGAUGGAUGGAUGGAUGGAUAUUACAUUGACUAGCUAGGUGGUGUGAUGGAUGGAUGGAUGGAUGGAUGGAUGGAUGGAUGGAUGGAUAUUACAUUGACUAGCUAGGUGCUGUGAUGGAUGGAUGGAUGGAUGGAUGGAUGGAUGGAUAUUACAUUGACUAGCUAGGUGGUCGGAUGGAUGGAUGGAUGGAUGGAUAUUAGAUUGACUAACUAGUUGGUGUGAUGGAUGGAUAUUAGAUUGAUUAGCUAGUUGGUGUGAUGGAUGGAUGAAUGGAUGGAUGGAUAUUAGAUUGACUAGCUAGUUGGUGUGAUGGAUAUUAGAUUGAUUUGCUAGUUGGUGUGAUGUGUAGAUGGAUGGAUGGAUGGAUGGAUGGAUGAAUAUUAGAUUGACUAGCUAGUUGGUGUGAUGGAUGGAUAUUAGAUUGACUAGCUAGUUGGUGUGAUGGAUAUUAGAUUGAUUAGCUAGUUGGUGUGAUGGAUGGAUGAAUGGAUGGAUGGAUAUUAGAUUGACUAGCUAGUUGGUGUUAUGGAUAUAGAUUGAUUAGCUAGUUGGUGUGAUGUGUAGAUGGAUGGAUGGAUGAAUAUUAGAUUGACUAGCUAGUUGGUGUGAUGGAUGGAUAUUAGAUUGACUAGCUAGUUGGUGUGAUGGAUGGAUGAAUGUAUGGAUGGAUGGAUGGCUAGGUGGAUGGAUAGAUAAAGGAAUAGAGAAGUUGAGAAACGUGCACUCAGACACACAGCGGCAGUGCUGAUGGGAUUCGUUUCAUUGAACACAGCAUAUGCAGCCAGCGGGCUCGUAGGGAAUAUCAGGACGUCUGCCAUGUGGGCAACAGCUCCUUUGUGACUUUUAGAAGUUGAUUUCUGUCUGAUGCAGGCUCACACACACACACACACACACACACAGACACACACACACACACACACACACACACACAGAAAUAUUUGCUAAUCCUCAGUAAGGGAUUAGUGGUUGAGGUGUAAUUUGAGCCCAUGCCAUCAGGUCACACAACUAACACACUUUCUACCAGGAGCAAUUCUUUUUCUGUGAUGUGUGAUGCGAUAGUAGCACGUAACAGACACGGACAUCCUCGGCAUUGCUAUGGACCAAAGAGUAACAGAGAUCCUUUAUUGUAUUUAUUUGUUUUAGACAUUACACUUACUCUUCCUGAACUCCUGAACUGUCCUGUAAAAGUUGCAAUUACACUCAGAUUUAGAUCAGGUUUUUUUUUUAUUUAGCUAGUUUGUAAAUGAAUGAAUGAAUAAAUGACCCCCAGGUCCAAGCACCAUUUUUAAAACCUGGCUAUAU
Ictalurus punctatus (channel catfish) is the source of this 1675-nucleotide long non-coding RNA. NCBI's taxonomy places the organism in Eukaryota, Metazoa, Chordata, Actinopteri, Siluriformes, Ictaluridae. The record is from Ensembl.